Ylistrum balloti is the source of this 223-nucleotide long non-coding RNA. RefSeq lists it as uncharacterized. Lineage: Eukaryota; Metazoa; Mollusca; Bivalvia; Pectinida; Pectinidae. The transcript has 3 exons. The record is from RefSeq and is a predicted model, not a curated record.
CGAGGGGGCUAUAGCCAGUACAGAGGCUCAGCAAGGCCUUUUUUACGGUCGGGCCAGCGGGGCCGGGGACAACGGCGACCCGCAUACAUGCAGCAAAGUCAAAGCCAGAGCCAGACACAGAAAAAAGAAUAGCCCCUAAGUCUGAUCAGCCGUGUUCUGCACAAAGUGAAGGAAGACAAAUUUCUUUCAGAAGAGGUUUGCAAGUGUCCACUUCCACAGUGGC